UAGCCUUUUGUCUGAUUUAGCUGAAAAUGCUCCUCAUGAUUGUAUACAGUUGAUGCAACAAGAAACUUCUGGAUUUUCUCAUGAAAAACCUAUUGAUAACCCUGAUUUUGAGUGUUUUGUAGAUGGAAGCAGGAAUAUGGGAGAGGAUGGCCGGUUCCACACUGGAUAUGCAGGGGUCACACAGCAUGAGGUAGCCAUUGCUGAACCACUCCCUCACACAUGAGCUGAAGGCACUCACUGAGGCGUGUAAAUUGGCUGAGGGGGAGAAGGUGAACAUCUAUACAGAUUCAAGGUUGGCCGGAAGCCUUCCCAAUAGCCAAAGCAAAUGCCAAGAAUACGGCAAAGAAAAUGAUCCUGACUCAGUAGAAGGAACUCACAACUUGCAGCCCGGGGACUGGGUGGUGAUAAAAAGGCAUGUGAGAAAAGGACUAGUUCCAAGAUUUGAUGGCCCAUUUCAA
This is a long non-coding RNA of Bufo bufo (common toad), 458 nucleotides long. RefSeq lists it as uncharacterized. The transcript is spliced from 3 exons. Lineage: Eukaryota; Metazoa; Chordata; Amphibia; Anura; Bufonidae. The record is from RefSeq and is a predicted model, not a curated record.